This 589-nucleotide ribosomal RNA is filed under the name uncultured bacterium. Its description in RNAcentral is "bacterial SSU rRNA". It matches the Rfam family "Bacterial small subunit ribosomal RNA", at positions 338 to 916 of the family's 1533-position model. The record is from RNAcentral.
CCUACGGGAGGCAGCAGUGGGGAAUAUUGGACAAUGGGCGCAAGCCUGAUCCAGCCAUACCGCGUGUGUGAAGAAGGCCUUUUGGUUGUAAAGCACUUUAAGCGAGGAGGAGGCUCUUGAGGAUAAUACCCUUGAUGAGUGGACGUUACUCGCAGAAUAAGCACCGGCUAACUCUGUGCCAGCAGCCGCGGUAAUACAGAGGGUGCGAGCGUUAAUCGGAAUUACUGGGCGUAAAGCGCGCGUAGGCGGCUUGUUAAGUCGGAUGUGAAAUCCCCGGGCUCAACCUGGGCACUGCAUUCGAUACUGGCAAGCUAGAGUAUGGGAGAGGAAGGUAGAAUUCCAGGUGUAGCGGUGAAAUGCGUAGAGAUCUGGAGGAAUACCGAUGGCGAAGGCAGCCUUCUGGCCUAAUACUGACGCUGAGGUGCGAAAGCAUGGGGAGCAAACAGGAUUAGAUACCCUGGUAGUCCAUGCCGUAAACGAUGUCAACUAGCCGUUGGGGACCUUGAGUCUUUAGUGGCGCAGCUAACGCGAUAAGUUGACCCGCCUGGGGAGUACGGUCGCAAGACUAAAACGUCAAAGGAAUUGACGG